Molecule: ribosomal RNA, 2918 nt
Filed under: Bacillus cereus
Lineage: Bacteria; Bacillati; Bacillota; Bacilli; Caryophanales; Bacillaceae
Description: bacterial LSU rRNA
Rfam family: Bacterial large subunit ribosomal RNA
Source: RNAcentral
UUAAGUUAGAAAGGGCGCACGGUGGAUGCCUUGACACUAGGAGUCGAUGAAGGACGGGACUAACGCCGAUAUGCUUCGGGGAGCUGUAAGUAAGCUUUGAUCCGAAGAUUUCCGAAUGGGGAAACCCACCAUACGUAAUGGUAUGGUAUCCUUAUCUGAAUACAUAGGGUAAGGAAGACAGACCCAGGGAACUGAAACAUCUAAGUACCUGGAGGAAGAGAAAGCAAAUGCGAUUUCCUGAGUAGCGGCGAGCGAAACGGAACAUAGCCCAAACCAAGAGGCUUGCCUCUUGGGGUUGUAGGACAUUCUAUACGGAGUUACAAAGGAACGAGGUAGACGAAGCGACCUGGAAAGGUCCGUCGUAGAGGGUAACAACCCCGUAGUCGAAACUUCGUUCUCUCUUGAAUGUAUCCUGAGUACGGCGGAACACGUGAAAUUCCGUCGGAAUCUGGGAGGACCAUCUCCCAAGGCUAAAUACUCCCUAGUGAUCGAUAGUGAACCAGUACCGUGAGGGAAAGGUGAAAAGCACCCCGGAAGGGGAGUGAAAGAGAUCCUGAAACCGUGUGCCUACAAAUAGUCAGAGCCCGUUAACGGGUGAUGGCGUGCCUUUUGUAGAAUGAACCGGCGAGUUACGAUCCCGUGCGAGGUUAAGCUGAAGAGGCGGAGCCGCAGCGAAAGCGAGUCUGAAUAGGGCGUUUAGUACGUGGUCGUAGACCCGAAACCAGGUGAUCUACCCAUGUCCAGGGUGAAGUUCAGGUAACACUGAAUGGAGGCCCGAACCCACGCACGUUGAAAAGUGCGGGGAUGAGGUGUGGGUAGCGGAGAAAUUCCAAUCGAACCUGGAGAUAGCUGGUUCUCCCCGAAAUAGCUUUAGGGCUAGCCUUAAGUGUAAGAGUCUUGGAGGUAGAGCACUGAUUGGACUAGGGGUCCUCAUCGGAUUACCGAAUUCAGUCAAACUCCGAAUGCCAAUGACUUAUCCUUAGGAGUCAGACUGCGAGUGAUAAGAUCCGUAGUCAAAAGGGAAACAGCCCAGACCGCCAGCUAAGGUCCCAAAGUGUGUAUUAAGUGGAAAAGGAUGUGGAGUUGCUUAGACAACUAGGAUGUUGGCUUAGAAGCAGCCACCAUUUAAAGAGUGCGUAAUAGCUCACUAGUCGAGUGACUCUGCGCCGAAAAUGUACCGGGGCUAAAUACACCACCGAAGCUGCGGAUUGAUACCAAUGGUAUCAGUGGUAGGGGAGCGUUCUAAGGACAGUGAAGUCAGACCGGAAGGACUGGUGGAGUGCUUAGAAGUGAGAAUGCCGGUAUGAGUAGCGAAAGACGGGUGAGAAUCCCGUCCACCGAAUGCCUAAGGUUUCCUGAGGAAGGCUCGUCCGCUCAGGGUUAGUCAGGACCUAAGCCGAGGCCGACAGGCGUAGGCGAUGGACAACAGGUUGAUAUUCCUGUACCACCUCUUUAUCGUUUGAGCAAUGGAGGGACGCAGAAGGAUAGAAGAAGCGUGCGAUUGGUUGUGCACGUCCAAGCAGUUAGGCUGAUAAGUAGGCAAAUCCGCUUAUCGUAAAGGCUGAGCUGUGAUGGGGAAGCUCCUUAUGGAGCGAAGUCUUUGAUUCCCCGCUGCCAAGAAAAGCUUCUAGCGAGAUAAAAGGUGCCUGUACCGCAAACCGACACAGGUAGGCGAGGAGAGAAUCCUAAGGUGUGCGAGAGAACUCUGGUUAAGGAACUCGGCAAAAUGACCCCGUAACUUCGGGAGAAGGGGUGCUUUCUUAACGGAAAGCCGCAGUGAAUAGGCCCAAGCGACUGUUUAGCAAAAACACAGCUCUCUGCGAAGCCGUAAGGCGAAGUAUAGGGGGUGACACCUGCCCGGUGCUGGAAGGUUAAGGAGAGGGGUUAGCGUAAGCGAAGCUCUGAACUGAAGCCCCAGUAAACGGCGGCCGUAACUAUAACGGUCCUAAGGUAGCGAAAUUCCUUGUCGGGUAAGUUCCGACCCGCACGAAAGGUGUAACGAUUUGGGCACUGUCUCAACCAGAGACUCGGUGAAAUUAUAGUACCUGUGAAGAUGCAGGUUACCCGCGACAGGACGGAAAGACCCCGUGGAGCUUUACUGUAGCCUGAUAUUGAAUUUUGGUACAGUUUGUACAGGAUAGGCGGGAGCCAUUGAAACCGGAGCGCUAGCUUCGGUGGAGGCGCUGGUGGGAUACCGCCCUGACUGUAUUGAAAUUCUAACCUACGGGUCUUAUCGACCCGGGAGACAGUGUCAGGUGGGCAGUUUGACUGGGGCGGUCGCCUCCUAAAGUGUAACGGAGGCGCCCAAAGGUUCCCUCAGAAUGGUUGGAAAUCAUUCGUAGAGUGCAAAGGCAUAAGGGAGCUUGACUGCGAGACCUACAAGUCGAGCAGGGACGAAAGUCGGGCUUAGUGAUCCGGUGGUUCCGCAUGGAAGGGCCAUCGCUCAACGGAUAAAAGCUACCCCGGGGAUAACAGGCUUAUCUCCCCCAAGAGUCCACAUCGACGGGGAGGUUUGGCACCUCGAUGUCGGCUCAUCGCAUCCUGGGGCUGUAGUCGGUCCCAAGGGUUGGGCUGUUCGCCCAUUAAAGCGGUACGCGAGCUGGGUUCAGAACGUCGUGAGACAGUUCGGUCCCUAUCCGUCGUGGGCGUAGGAAAUUUGAGAGGAGCUGUCCUUAGUACGAGAGGACCGGGAUGGACGCACCGCUGGUGUACCAGUUGUUCUGCCAAGGGCAUAGCUGGGUAGCUAUGUGCGGAAGGGAUAAGUGCUGAAAGCAUCUAAGCAUGAAGCCCCCCUCAAGAUGAGAUUUCCCAUAGCGUAAGCUAGUAAGAUCCCUGAAAGAUGAUCAGGUUGAUAGGUUCGAGGUGGAAGCAUGGUGACAUGUGGAGCUGACGAAUACUAAUAGAUCGAGGACUUAACC